RNAcentral lists this ribosomal RNA (1323 nucleotides) under uncultured bacterium. Its description in RNAcentral is "bacterial SSU rRNA". It matches the Rfam family "Bacterial small subunit ribosomal RNA", at positions 27 to 1381 of the family's 1533-position model. The record is from RNAcentral.
GGAUGAACGUUGGCGGUGUGCCUAAUACAUGCAAGUCGAACGAAGAGAGUAGCAAUACAAUCUUAGUGGCGAACGGGUGAGUAACGCGUUGGUGAUCUGCCUCGAAGUGUGGAAUAACCUCCCGAAAGGGAAGCUAAUACUGCAUAAUAUCCAAGAGAUUAGAUGCUUUUGGAUUAAAGGAGUAAUUCGCUUCGAGAGGAGCCUGCGUCCCAUCAGCUCGUUGGUAGGGUAACGGCCUACCAAGGCUAUGACGGGUAGGGGACCUGAGAGGGUGGCCCCCCACAAUGGAACUGAAACACGGUCCAUACACCUACGGGUGGCAGCAGUAGGGAAUAUUAGAAAUGGGCGAAAGCCUGAUCUAGCAACACCGCGUGUGCGAUGAAGGCCUUCGGGUCGUAAAGCACUUUUUGGAGGGAAUAGGAAGGAAGGUACCUCCAGAAUAAGUCUCGGCUAACUACGUGCCAGCAGCCGCGGUAACACGUAGGAGGCAAACGUUAUCCGGAUUCACUGGGCGUAAAGCGCGUGUAGGUGGUUCUGUAAGUAGGGCGUGAAAGCUCCCGGCUCAACUGGGAGAGGCCGUACUAAACUGCAGAGCUAGAGGAUGGUAGAGGGAGGUGGAAUUCCAGGUGUAGUGGUGAAAUGCGCAGAUAUCUGGAGGAACACCAGUGGCGAAGGCGGCCUCCUGGACCAUUCCUGACACUCAGACGCGAAAGCUAGGGUAGCAAACGGAAUUAGAGACUCCGGUAGUCCUAGCCCUAAACGAUGCAGACUAGGCGUCGGCGGUUUAAUCACCGUCGGUGUCCAAGCUAACGCGAUAAGUCUGCCGCCUGAGGACUACGGCCGCAAGGCUAAAACUCAAAGGAAUUGACGGGUCCCCGCACAAGCAGCGGAGCGUGUGGUUUAAUUCGAUGCUCCGCGAAAAACCUUACCUGGGUUUGACAUAACAGUGGUAGAGAAGUGAAAACGGACCGACCCCUCGGGGAGCUGUUACAGGUGUUGCAUGGCUGUCGUCAGCUCGUGUCGUGAGAUGUUCGGUUAAGUCCGCUAACGAGCGCAACCCGCGCUGUGUGUUACAAGUGUCACACAGUACCGCCGGUAUUAAGUCGGAGGAAGGUGCGGAUGACGUCAAGUCAGCAUGACCUUUAUAUCCAGGGCUACACACACGCUACAAUGGUCAGAACAAUAGGUUGCCAAGCCGCAAGGCGGAGCCAAUCCUAAAAAGUCGGUCUCAGUUCAGAUUGCAGGCUGCAACUCGCCUGCAUGAAGAUGGAGUUGCUAGUAACCACAGGUCAGCGAUACUGCGGUGAAUACGUUCCCGGGCCU